AGAGUUUGAUCAUGGCUCAGAUUGAACGCUGGCGGCAGGCCUAACACAUGCAAGUCGAACGGUAACAGGAAGAAGCUUGCUUCUUUGCUGACGAGUGGCGGACGGGUGAGUAAUGUCUGGGAAACUGCCUGAUGGAGGGGGAUAACUACUGGAAACGGUAGCUAAUACCGCAUAACGUCGCAAGACCAAAGAGGGGGACCUUCGGGCCUCUUGCCAUCGGAUGUGCCCAGAUGGGAUUAGCUAGUAGGUGGGGUAACGGCUCACCUAGGCGACGAUCCCUAGCUGGUCUGAGAGGAUGACCAGCCACACUGGAACUGAGACACGGUCCAGACUCCUACGGGAGGCAGCAGUGGGGAAUAUUGCACAAUGGGCGCAAGCCUGAUGCAGCCAUGCCGCGUGUAUGAAGAAGGCCUUCGGGUUGUAAAGUACUUUCAGCGGGGAGGAAGGGAGUAAAGUUAAUACCUUUGCUCAUUGACGUUACCCGCAGAAGAAGCACCGGCUAACUCCGUGCCAGCAGCCGCGGUAAUACGGAGGGUGCAAGCGUUAAUCGGAAUUACUGGGCGUAAAGCGCACGCAGGCGGUUUGUUAAGUCAGAUGUGAAAUCCCCGGGCUCAACCUGGGAACUGCAUCUGAUACUGGCAAGCUUGAGUCUCGUAGAGGGGGGUAGAAUUCCAGGUGUAGCGGUGAAAUGCGUAGAGAUCUGGAGGAAUACCGGUGGCGAAGGCGGCCCCCUGGACGAAGACUGACGCUCAGGUGCGAAAGCGUGGGGAGCAAACAGGAUUUGAUACCCUGGUAGUCCACGCCGUAAACGAUGUCGACUUGGAGGUUGUGCCCUUGAGGCGUGGCUUCCGGAGCUAACGCGUUAAGUCGACCGCCUGGGGAAUACGGCCGCAAGGUUAAAACUCAAAUGAAUUGACGGGGGCCCGCACAAGCGGUGGAGCAUGUGGUUUAAUUCGAUGCAACGCGAAGAACCUUACCUGGUCUUGACAUCCACGGAAGUUUUCAGAGAUGAGAAUGUGCCUUCGGGAACCGUGAGACAGGUGCUGCAUGGCUGUCGUCAGCUCGUGUUGUGAAAUGUUGGGUUAAGUCCCGCAACGAGCGCAACCCUUAUCCUUUGUUGCCAGCGGUCCGGCCGGGAACUCAAAGGAGACUGCCAGUGAUAAACUGGAGGAAGGUGGGGAUGACGUCAAGUCAUCAUGGCCCUUACGACCAGGGCUACACACGUGCUACAAUGGCGCAUACAAAGAGAAGCGACCUCGCGAGAGCAAGCGGACCUCAUAAAGUGCGUCGUAGUCCGGAUUGGAGUCUGCAACUCGACUCCAUGAAGUCGGAAUCGCUAGUAAUCGUGGAUCAGAAUGCCACGGUGAAUACGUUCCCGGGCCUUGUACACACCGCCCGUCACACCAUGGGAGUGGGUUGCAAAAGAAGUAGGUAGCUUAACCUUCGGGAGGGCGCUUACCACUUUGUGAUUCAUGACUGGGGUGAAGUCGUAACAAGGUA
Molecule: ribosomal RNA, 1500 nt
Filed under: metagenome
Description: bacterial SSU rRNA
Rfam family: Bacterial small subunit ribosomal RNA
Source: RNAcentral